This 75-nucleotide transfer RNA is filed under the name Candidatus Pelagibacter sp. RNAcentral describes it as "tRNA-His". It matches the Rfam family "tRNA". From Rfam's summary of the family: Transfer RNA (tRNA) molecules are approximately 80 nucleotides in length. Their secondary structure includes four short double-helical elements and three loops (D, anti-codon, and T loops). The record is from RNAcentral. Lineage: Bacteria; Pseudomonadati; Pseudomonadota; Alphaproteobacteria; Candidatus Pelagibacterales; Candidatus Pelagibacteraceae.
GCGGUAGUAGCUCAGCUUGGUUAGAGCACUUGUUUGUGGAACAAGGGGUCGAUGGUUCGAGUCCAUCCUACCGUA